AGCUUUGUGCCGUGGCAGUAUCAUAGCCGAUGAGGUUUAUCUGAGGUGCGAUUAUUGCUAAUUAAAAGUUAGCAUUGUAGUAUCCAAAAUCUAUAAAGAAGUCACCACACU
Lynx canadensis (Canada lynx) is the source of this 111-nucleotide small nuclear RNA. Its record names the gene U4. It matches the Rfam family "U4 spliceosomal RNA". Rfam says of the family: U4 small nuclear RNA (U4 snRNA) is a component of the major U2-dependent spliceosome. The structure of U4 snRNA from yeast and human has been reported. U4 snRNA presents a k-turn RNA motif in the 5p-SL related to recognition of Snu13 protein. The record is from Ensembl. NCBI's taxonomy places the organism in Eukaryota, Metazoa, Chordata, Mammalia, Carnivora, Felidae.